GACGAACGCUGGCGGCGUGCUUAACACAUGCAAGUCGAACGAUGAACCCGGAGCUUGCUCCGGCGGAUUAGUGGCGAACGGGUGAGUAACACGUGAGUAACCUGCCCUUGACUCUGGGAUAACUGCGGGAAACUGUAGCUAAUACCGGAUACGACCCUCGGCGGCAUCGCCAGGGGGUGGAAAGAAUUUCGGUCAAGGAUGGACUCGCGGCCUAUCAGCUAGUUGGUGAGGUAACGGCUCACCAAGGCGACGACGGGUAGCCGGCCUGAGAGGGUGACCGGCCACACUGGGACUGAGACACGGCCCAGACUCCUACGGGGGGCAGCAGUGGGGAAUAUUGCACAAUGGGCGCAAGCCGGAUGCAGCAACGCCGCGUGAGGGAUGACGGCCUUCGGGUUGUAAACCUCUGUUAGUAGGGAAGAAGCGCAAGUGACGGUACCUGCAGAAAAAGCACCGGCUAACUACGUGCCAGCCGCCGCGGUAA
Molecule: ribosomal RNA, 484 nt
Filed under: uncultured bacterium
Lineage: Bacteria
Description: partial 16S ribosomal RNA
Rfam family: Bacterial small subunit ribosomal RNA
Source: RNAcentral